RNAcentral lists this ribosomal RNA (431 nucleotides) under uncultured bacterium. RNAcentral's name for it is "partial 16S ribosomal RNA". It matches the Rfam family "Bacterial small subunit ribosomal RNA", at positions 29 to 507 of the family's 1533-position model. The record is from RNAcentral.
AACGAACGCUGGCGGCAGGCUUAACACAUGCAAGUCGAGCGCCCCGCCAGGGGAGCGGCAGACGGGUGAGUAACGCGUGGGAACGUACCUUUUGGUUCGGAACAACUCCGGGAAACUGGAGCUAAUACCGGAUAAGCCCUAACGGGGAAAGAUUUAUCGCCGAAAGAGCGGCCCGCGUCUGAUUAGCUAGUUGGUGAGGUAACGGCUCACCAAGGCGACGAUCAGUAGCUGGUCUGAGAGGAUGAUCAGCCACACUGGGACUGAGACACGGCCCAGACUCCUACGGGAGGCAGCAGUGGGGAAUAUUGGACAAUGGGCGCAAGCCUGAUCCAGCCAUGCCGCGUGAGUGAUGAAGGCCUUAGGGUUGUAAAGCUCUUUUGUCCGGGAAGAUAAUGACUGUACCGGAAGAAUAAGCCCCGGCUAACUUCGUG